UGGUCAAUCUGAGAUUAGUUUUAUACGAAGUAUUUUUCUGUUCUUAACUCACUUUUCUCUUUCCUCAUCAAAUAUUCUACCAUGGAAUCAACACCUUCAGCCUCUUAUUUUUCUCUCUCCUCUCCUCAGCCCUACCAGCCACUGCACCACCACCACCGUAAUUGAGCUCCUAGCUACUUACUCUCUCCUCUGCCUAUCUACACAUCACUCUUUAUGCGCCACCACCUCCGUUUUUCCUCUCUCCUCCAUCUUUCCUUUGUUCAUCUCAUAUCCAAUGAUGUGUUCAUCAGGUGGGUGGCCGGGAUAAUGUAACUACAGGUAACAAAUUUAGCUUGGUAAAAUGUAUAAACAUCUACAAGAGACGCUUUAAAAAAGUUCCCUGGAAAAGAGUGGUGUGCUAUGAUAAAGCCAGCUUUAUAAGUCUUUUAUAACUUGGUUAAAUGUUCAAGGAAAAUCAAAGAGACUACAUACUGCUGAUAGGUUGACUAUGUGUGGUAUCAUCUGUUCUGUUGACUGUGUUCUAUGUAAAAGGCAGCAUGGAAAUCGAUGAAACUAGGCGUGCAUGGGAGAGUUUAGAUUUUGUUCUUUCUAUGUCUGUAUCUAUCGUACUUAUGUUAGCUGGAGCGGUCUCUCUUGGAUGCCAUACGAUGGUGAUAAUUCCAUGUAAAAAAAUUCGUUUUCUGUUCCAAUCAUCUAUAAAGGCAUCACCUUCAUACAUUCCAGAUAGCACUGGAAGAUAAUUUCCUUCACCUUCUGUUCAGUCUGGUGCUGGAGCCCCUGGCUAUCAUCACACUGGUGAGCAGAGUUUUCUGGUUCAUGCCUUGCCCACAGGAACAUCAGCAACAUAUGCAGUCAAUAAGUGGUGGCGGUGACUCUUUUGUGUCUGUAAAUAAUCAGGGUCUUCCAAAUUUGCAUGGAUUAGAUUUGUUCCCAUCUUCGAAUUCAACGUAUCUCAUUCAGGUGUGCUUAUUGAUAGCAUAAAAGGGUACGUUGCUGCAGUAUAUAACCUUUUAUUAACCUCGGAAUCUCUGUAAAAUGGUCUUAGCAUUGUUAAUAAAGCGUCAUAUACUUGUUCAGUAUUCUCAUUGUUUCAUCUUCUACCUCAUUUUGAAAGAGGCUCAUAGAGAGUUAGAAGACAAGCUUAGAGUUGUACACAAUUAUUUAGCUUGUGGAUCUAACGUCGUUGAGAGGUGAAUUUUGUAUUCAUCUUCAUCGGUCAAGACACAUGAAGAUGACUGCUGUCAAAUUCAGUUGGAAGACAAGCCAACAUAUUCAGUUUGUGAUUGAAUAUGGUAAGUUAGAUAGCUGUUAAAUUGGCUAUAAGUUUGGGGCCAUAAGAAAAGUAGGCUCUGAUAUGAUAACGUACAUUAGUUCAAUGAACAACUUAACUUCAAUGUGUGGUGUGGGUUCAGGCUUCGCAUGAUCAAUGUAUGUAGCGCAGCAAUAACAACAGCAAAGCUCGUUCUAGUUUCAUCUACGGCAGAUGUCAGACAUAGAUAAUAUCGUUUCGGAAACAGGAACAGGGAGUCAAUUCUAUUCAGGCUACACAAACUGCUUGUCUUUGUUAUGUUUGUUGAAUGUCACAGACGUAAGUCAAUUUGAAUGUUAGUUCCCCUUGGUCUGACAAAUUUGUAAAAGUAGAUCCUGACUUUGUAGUUUUGUAUCAAUUCUGCCACAUCUCUUUUAUUUUCAGUUAAUGAUUUCAAUCCGAA
This is a long non-coding RNA of Spinacia oleracea (spinach), 1712 nucleotides long. RefSeq lists it as uncharacterized. NCBI's taxonomy places the organism in Eukaryota, Viridiplantae, Streptophyta, Magnoliopsida, Caryophyllales, Amaranthaceae. The record is from RefSeq and is a predicted model, not a curated record. The transcript is spliced from 4 exons.